This 107-nucleotide ribosomal RNA is filed under the name Acanthosepion pharaonis. Lineage: Eukaryota; Metazoa; Mollusca; Cephalopoda; Sepiida; Sepiidae. The record is from RNAcentral.
CAUAUCAAGUUGAAGUACUGGUUCUCGUACGUUCAGAGAAGUUAAUCAACGUCGAGCCUGGUCAGUACGUAGGUGGGUGACCGCUUGGGAAUACCAGGUGCUGUAAG